Molecule: unclassified non-coding RNA, 406 nt
Filed under: Hevea brasiliensis (rubber tree)
Lineage: Eukaryota; Viridiplantae; Streptophyta; Magnoliopsida; Malpighiales; Euphorbiaceae
Source: RNAcentral
AUAGCCUUUAAUCUGUGUUAAUAGAAAAAAUAAAAUAAACUGAAUUGAUUUUUAUAAAAAUAAAAUCGAAUCAAUGGAAUUAUUAAAUAAAUCGAAUUGAAAUUUUUAAUUCGAAUAAUUCGGUUUAAACCGAAUUUUGCUCAGCCCAUCCUCCUCCACGCAUCCAGUUUCGGGCAGUCCCACCGCUGCAGCCAACCAGCCAUAACAAAGAAAAAAAUCCCUUAUUUCAACCACUUGAAAUUAUUUACUUCAAUUCUAUAAUUUUUGAUUAAGUGAUUUUUGCCAAUUAAUAAAGGCAACCAUCGCUCGACUUGAAUCCUUCGAAAACGAUUAUGUGGGGAUGGAAAUGGUGGAAAGUAAUUAUGAUGAUAAGGAGGCUUCCCUCGAUGAUGAUGAUGAUGAUGAU